This 76-nucleotide transfer RNA is filed under the name Bradyrhizobium sp. RNAcentral describes it as "tRNA-Lys". It matches the Rfam family "tRNA". Rfam says of the family: Transfer RNA (tRNA) molecules are approximately 80 nucleotides in length. Their secondary structure includes four short double-helical elements and three loops (D, anti-codon, and T loops). RNAcentral also lists the same sequence under 6 other names. Lineage: Bacteria; Pseudomonadati; Pseudomonadota; Alphaproteobacteria; Hyphomicrobiales; Nitrobacteraceae. The record is from RNAcentral.
GGGCCGUUAGCUCAGUUGGUAGAGCAGCGGACUUUUAAUCCGUUGGUCACUGGUUCAAGUCCAGUACGGCCUACCA